CAGGGUGACGUCACUUGGCACUCAAGGAUGGCCGUCUGUGUUGCUCCAGCAGCUCCUCCAGGUGGUCCGCCCGCUUCACCGCAGCCUGCAACACGUUUUGGACACGCAGGCGGGCGCCCUCAGCCUCACGAAGGCCUGAGGGGGUGCUGGUGCCCACUGUCACCCUCUCUGCAGUGGCCCUCUGCUGAACAGGGCCUGUUCCAGCCGGAAUCCCGCCCACCUCCUGAGCCUCUGGACGCUCCGGAAAUGGCUAGCCGUCCUGGGACAGAGUUGGGAGCCACGCGGGCGUCCGCCCACGGGCUACACCUGCCUUUCUCAGAAGAGGAGGGGGCUCGUGGCCGCCCCCCUGCAGUGCACCUGCAGGCACCCACCUCCGAUGCACCUCAUCCAGCUCCAUCUGCUGGCGCGCCCGCAGCUCCGCCAGCUCUGCUUUCACCUUCUGGGUCUCCUCCUGGGAGGCUGCCAGCUGGUCGGCAAACUCCUGUCUGACCACCUGGGCCAGGCUGGCCCGCUCCCCGCACAUCUGCGUGUUCACCUGGGCAGUAGGGUGUAGGCGGGUUUUAAUUUAGAACAGGGCUGCUCUGGCAAGAGGUCACAUCCAGAGCUUCAGGUAGAGAAAAGCUUAGGUCCAGGCAGGUGGGACACGCCUUUAAUCCCAAACAAGGAAGGGAAAGGUAUGUUUGAAAGUGAUGUCUGAGAGGCAGAAAAGGGGGAGGAAUCAGAGAAAGACUUGACAGAGUAAGAUACGCCCAACUCGGGAGAAGAGAGGAAAGGGAAGCUGCUUAAGGAGUGACGGGAGCAGGCGGUUUUACCAGCACAGUAAUAGACACAGGCUGCAGAAAGAACAGGCUAGACUCGGCUGAAGACAGAAGGUUAGAGCAGACUGCUGGAGUCAGAGGCCAAGCAGAGCAGGUAAGAGAGAAGCCAGACCGCAUAGCUCGGCGGGGAUAGGCGUAUGAACCAGAGCAGCUGAGCUGACCCAGCCAGCCCAGCGCUCAACAGGAGGGUGAGUCUCGGAGGCUGAAAACACUCAAGCCCUAGGCUAGCUUGUUAUGGAGACUUAGGGGCUUGCAGGACUAAGCCUAGGCUAGCAGAGGCGGCAGGAGCCUCUCGGCAGACGAAUGAAAGCCGCUGCGGCAGGGCGCAGACAGGGCCCGGGCCACUCACCACCCUCAGGUCUUCUAGUUCCUUCUCCUUCUGCCGAGCCAGGGCCAGCAGCCGCUCCUUCUCCCCUUCGGCCUCACCGAGGCGUCCUUUCAGCUCGGUGCACCGUUCCUGAAGCUUCCGCUCGGACUGCUCCAGCUCGGAGAGCUCCAUCUCGUACUUGUCCCGCACGCGCUUCACACUAGCAGGCGGAGGCGGCGGGGCGUGAGCAGCUGCCGCUCCCGCUGCCUCUGCCCCGGGGCCAGGCGCUGCCCGCAGAGGUGGGCAGCAGGAGCUCACCGGCUCUCGGCUGCCCUCUCACUCUCCUCCUUGGCCAGCGUCAUGUCCGCCUCCAGCCGCUGGAUGACCAGCUCAAUCUCCUGGUCCCGUCCUUUCCGGAUCUCCUCCUUCAGCUCACGCUCCCUGGCCAGCAGCCAGGCUUCCUGUAGGGAUGGACACAGCUGGCUCAUGAUCGGCCACCAGGAGGGCAGAGGGUGUAGACGCUGGGACAGUGGCAGAACCAGCCUUGCUGGGCUCUGGGGAACAGUUCCUGCUUAGAAGUCUCUUAGGGAGACGGAUCAGGGCGAAGGGCUCCAGCCCUGCCCAGGGCCCCAGAGCCCCAGAGGACUAUGUCUUGUUUUCAGGAUCUGAACACAGGGACAUGAGAUGGGCCCAGGGUAGUAUGGCUCCUUGGCCAAAGAGGCUGUUCCUCUCUCUCUGAGAACUGAAGCCCAAGAAAACGGUGAGCACCAUCUGCUAGACGCGCCAAGCCAAAAUGAGAAACCUGCCCUGGGGCCAAGGGGGCCUGGGUGCCAGCUGACUGACAGGCACAGACCACGUGACCCCUGGAGAGCAAGGGCAAGCCCUCUCGGGUCUCCAGAUGUGCCUGGUGCCAUUUCUUGCUCAAUGCUAACCUGGAUCCACAUGUGGACAGUGAGCAGCAAGGACUGAACCACCAAGGAAGACCCUUGAGCAGCUAGAGUACAAGCCCCCAGGAGGCCCCGAACUGCGGCCCACCCUGUCUGGGCCUACCUCCUUCUUGGCACAGCUGGCCACCCACGCCUGUCUCUCGGCCUCCAGCUCGUCCUUCAGGGCUUUCAGCUCCAUCUGGAAGGGGACAGACUGUGAGCAGUUUGCGGUCCACGCCAAGGCCCUGCCCACCCCACCCAGGACCUCACACCACUGGGGUCAGGCGGAAGACACCCCCUCCCUCCACUGGAGGCCAGACGCAGCCAGCGCGCCAACCUGGUGCCUCCGCUCCUGCUCCUCUCGGCUCCUCUCGAACUCGGCUCUCAGGGCUCUGGUGAGCGUCGCGCUGCUCUCCUCCAGCUGCUGCCUCAGCUCCUCCAGCUCCAGCCGCUGCCUGCGGGCCAGUAAGAGUCAGGGGACGGAGGGUCAUUGUGAGAGGGGCUGGGAGGCCAGGGGUCACUGUGAGACCAGCCUCAGUGGCACCUGGCUGCCUGCUGGCCCAGUCGCUCCUUCUCUUCAGCCACCUCACUGUAGAGCCGCCGCCGCUGCUGCUCCAAGGCCCGCUGCUCCUGCUCCAGGUGCUGCUCAAACCUGCAGGACAGUGAGGACGCUCGUGCCACGGCCGGUGGCCACGGUGCCUCACGGGGCCCUCUGUCGUCCACGGACUCUCACAAGGCUGAGAAAAGGCCUCCACUCAGCCGAGUGUGUGCUCACUGUGUCUCCACACUGGCCUGACUCUGCUUAGCCGCCACUCCUGGGUGAGAGCCAGGAGCCUGGCUCUAUGAUCUGAGCAACCUCCUGCCGUGACAUGUGGGAGAGCACGGGUCAGCCAGGUGGAGAGGGCCAGUGGGCUACGGGAGAGGAGGGGACCUUGAGGACCUAGUCAGGGCACCAACAGUGAAGCAGCGGCUGUCCACUGGUCACUGGGGCCUCACUCAGCCAGGUGCCAGGCUCUGACGUUACAGCCUAGUCAUACCUUAGAGCGUGAACCCUACGGCUGAGGGAAUGAACGGGGAUGACCUCUGCCGCAGAGCAGCCCACACAGCAGCAAGGCUGGCUGGCUGGGUGCUGUAUUGGCCCACUGGCCUGCGGUGCCCACAGCCUCCAGCGGCCACCCACCUCUGCUGGGCACGCUCCCGCUCUUGCUGGCCCAGUGCUUCCUUCUCCCGCUCCAGGUGCUCCCGCAACUCUUCCGCCUGGCGCAGGUGGCGCUGUGCGGCCUGCUCCUCACGCUGCUGCAGCUCAGCCUCGUGCAGGCCCCUGAGCCUCCUCACCUCUUGCUUGUGCUUGGCGAUCAGUUUUUGGAUCUCGGGCUCUAGACCUGUGGGAACAGGGGUGGCACCAGAGAUGGGCUUCCAGGCCCCUCCUGCCCAGCCACUGCCCGGAAGCACAGCAGGCCUGAGAUACUGAGGCGACCAGAGGCAGGGACCAGAGACCUAGCUCCAGAAGUGCCUGUGGCUUUCCCAGCCUCUCGGUCCCCAGAUGUCAUGGUGCCCAGGUUCCUGGAGGAAGAGGACUCCCGUAAGGCCAGGCCGAGGUGCCCCCUAAAACCACCUAACAGUCCACAGCUCCUUCACAUCUGCCAGCCUAAGGGGCCCUGGAGCUUCUCUUCUGCAGUUUUCUGGUUUCUGCAGUGUGACCUACAGGCCUUGACCUCCCUACGCUGGCCUCUAAGGGAAGUGGUGCUCUCAGGCUUCUGUGAACUGGGAGUCAACAGCUGAAAUGGGGUUUGCCUCUGCCCGCCACGGGCAGCCAUCCCCGAGGCCUCGCGCAGGAACGUGUAUGGUCAUCGCCAUCACACGCGAGACUGAAGUUCCAUUCUCUCUCAACGUGUCCCCAACUAUGUACGGCCAGGGCACGAAGGCCCACCUCUGACUGUGAUUUCCUUGAUCUUUUUCGUCUUCUCAUUGAUCCACUUCUCGCGGCGGAUUUUCUCGGUGGCACUCAUGAGUUCUUUGAGUUUCUUAAUCUCCUGGGUAAAAAGCACAGGAAGCCAGAAUGCAGAGGUGACGGGGGUAGGGGGCAAGCCCCGUCUUCCUCCCGGCCCACACUGCAGAGCUCUUUCCUCUCUUCCCAGGGACAGGGACCACCCUACCACACACAUUUCAGCCUGAGGCACCGUGUGGGGUAGUCACAGCCCAGCUUGUAGAGGCCCCCAGCCCACUGGUACUGCGGCCAUACAGGAAGACAGAGGAUUAAGGGGACACAGGAGAGAGGGGAGGCCCUCCAUCCAGGAGCUGAUGUGCCCUUCACACCGACAGCCACCACUGACAGCCCAACUGACUACCAUGCUAAUGCCUGUUCCCCUAAAGACACCGCCGAGGACCAGGAAGCCAAGGAUCCCACUUUUGCCUGACCAGGAGGGGAGGUCCUCCGGCCACUGCGGACUUCCUGGAGCCAUGACUCCAUUCCGGCUGAGGCUGACAGGACCAUGCAAGAACUCCAGUCUCCAACCCUGGCUCUGGGCUGUGGACACUGGGGUCUCUUUAGACACAGUCAGCCCACCCUCAUUUGGGGCUGGGCUCCAGUAUAGGGUGGCUUCAGGGAUACCAGGCUCGCUUCAGAGAGAAGCACAAACAGGUCGCCGAGUCAGACUCUGACCCAGCGGCUGCUGGCCGAUCUGGCAGGGGCUGGAGGAGCCUGGUGCAGCUAAGCUGAGCAGGUUCUGUUACUCAGGAUGUCACUGGAGUAGGCCAGGCUUGGACUCCUGGGUCCAUGCCACUGUCCUGUGACAAGGGCCAGGUGGGCCUCCAUGAUUACCUGAGACAUGGCAGCCCACACUUCAGGACCUGUCCCUGUCCAACAUUUGGAUACAGUUCAAGAUGAGGGAAAGGGAGCCAGUGGUGGUGGCACAUACCUACAAUCCCAGCACUUGGGAGGCAGAGGCAGGAGGAUCUCUGUGAGUUCACGGCCGGCCUGGUCUACAGACUGAGUUUCAGGAUAGCUCAGGCUACACAGAAACAAAAAAUUCGAGAAGACAAAGGGACUGAAGGAAAAAGGAAAAGGUGCGAUCUUCCCACUGUUUCCCUAGCCCGGCACCAUCCUCAGGCCACACUGCCAUGUGCCCCUGGGCACUUGUUCAGCCAGGAGCUCACCAG
Meriones unguiculatus (Mongolian gerbil) is the source of this 5210-nucleotide long non-coding RNA. RefSeq lists it as uncharacterized. The transcript is spliced from 3 exons. The record is from RefSeq and is a predicted model, not a curated record. NCBI's taxonomy places the organism in Eukaryota, Metazoa, Chordata, Mammalia, Rodentia, Muridae.